RNAcentral lists this non-coding RNA (100 nucleotides) under Pseudomonas paraeruginosa PA7. RNAcentral's name for it is "Pseudomon-Rho RNA". It matches the Rfam family "Pseudomon-Rho RNA". Lineage: Bacteria; Pseudomonadati; Pseudomonadota; Gammaproteobacteria; Pseudomonadales; Pseudomonadaceae. The record is from RNAcentral. RNAcentral also lists the same sequence under 1 other name.
UUCGGGCUCGCGACGUUUUUUCCGUCGCCUUCUGCAUGCCGUCCCGGACGCACUUCCUACUCGAACUUUCUAGCGCUCCUGUCGCCCCUUGCGACACGGC